RNA transcript from Canis lupus familiaris (dog), 3612 nucleotides. RefSeq lists it as uncharacterized. The transcript has 12 exons. Lineage: Eukaryota; Metazoa; Chordata; Mammalia; Carnivora; Canidae. The record is from RefSeq and is a predicted model, not a curated record.
UUAUGUGGAAAUUCCAAGGAUGUCAAAUGAAAAUUUUGAAACUGAAGAACAAAGUAAAUAUUUCCUCGUGGCAGUGAUUCUUCUUCAGCCCUUUGAAUUCAGAAGGAUGGCAUAGAAAUCUCAGAAACAUUCUAAAUCCUGGAUAUAUAUCAGAAUCACCUGGGAACUUUAUAAACAUGCCAAUACCCACGGGCUCUCCAAGACCAAUAAAAUGAGAAUCUGGUGAAAUCUGUUGGAAAUCCUAUUGUGAGAGAGGGAUUAAAAGGGAGCAUGUUUGUUUUGUCUUCUUUGAGACCUGCACUGAAUUUAUUGAAUAUUCUGGUCUUUUCCUCUCCAGCCACUAUCUCCUUCAUUAGACCAUAAGGUAUGUCCUUUUUGAAAAGUAAUGGAGUCCAGUCAACUGAACUUCAUUGAUCUGCAAGGACUGCUGAAAAUUUAAAAACUUGCUAUGGGAUUCUGACAUGCCAGAAGCCACUAGAAAAAGGAUUUUGAUAUUCAGAACCUCAUUAAGAGGUUCCCCUCAUCUUUGGAUAGAGACCAAAAUGAUACUUUCAAGUCCUCAUCUUUGGAUAGAGACCAAAAUGAUACUUUCAAAAAGCCUGACAGGUUUCUCCGGAAAAGUGGCCAUCCAUGGAAUGAAUGAAAUGUUCCCUUUCUAUUCCAGCACACAUCGUGGGUGUCUUGUCUCCCUGUUUCCCUGAAAUAAUUUGAUUUGAAAAAGAAGAUGUUUGGAGACGACAGUAGGGUAAAAGAACGUUUCCUCCAACAGAAAUUCUCCUUCCUUCUCUGCCUACAAGUCCUCAAGGGGAAGGAAUGGUGUGUACUGAAGUAACAGACCUCUGUUGACCAAAGCUGCUGGGAAGAUAAAUGAAGAAAGGAAUAUAAAGCACUUAGUACAUGUAAUCGCUACCCCCAACAUGGGGCUAGAACCCAUGAUCCCGGAGAUUAAGAGGCGCACACUCUUCGGAUUGAGCCAAGCAGGCUCAUAACAAGAAAAUUUUAAAAGACGCCAUCGAUGAACGCGCCCCUAGGCCUUGUUCCCGGCUCCUCCAACUCUCCUCUUAGUCCUAGAAACACACCUGUCUCUAGAACCAGGUGUCCGCCUUGGCAUAAAACAAAGGCCCGGGGAAUCUGAGAGUUCCCGUUUCCCGCCAGGGGAUUGCAGUGGCAAAGCUAGGCUAGGUCUUGGAGGCUGGUGUAAGGCGAAGCGGGUGAAGGCAGGAGGCUGAUGGAGAGACUGGGGGGAAGAAAAGCCGAAAUGGAUUCACGGUGCCUUGGAUGGAGGACGAGAGGGGAACUGCAAGCUCCUUCAACUCGUUCUGUCCGGUGAGAAGUGAUCAAGCUUGGGCUGACAAGAGGCUCAGGAAGCCCUCACGUUCUUUCGCUUUUUUACCUGCCAAUCAAACUGCUACAAGACAACACCCUGAUCUGGCAUGGACAUCGCGGGUCCAAGCCUGUAGUCCCAAAUCGGAUAUCUCUGCAGCUGAUAACGAGCAAAAGAGAAGCCAGGCAACAGCCAUAUUAAAGAAGAAAACAGUCAACUCUGAGGAUGCCACCCUGAAAGUUUUAUUUUCUCCAGGAAGGUACAGUUGUCUUUGAGAGUCCUAGCCUGUGAACACAGUCUGUAAAUAUGAUCAUCAAGCAAGACGGAGCUGCCAAGAGGGAAGAUUUUGAAUGUUUCUCUCUCCUACAACCCUUCCCAGCGCCCCUCUUCCUUCCGGGGGUGCUUCCCUCUGUUUUCCCCUUUCCCCAGCACUGUUGAAAAUGGCUCCCAAGCAACACCUCGGUAGCUAAACCAAUUGUCCUGGGAAGUUGUUGAGCUGGCAUUUCAUCUGAGUCCUUUGUAAAAAUUAGAUUUUCUUUGAGUAGGGACGAGUGUCCUUUUGCAAGAGGGGACAAGGGAGAGUCCAAGCAGAGGGGGAGGGGAUGAGCAGUUUAUACACAUAUAUACUCUUUGUGUUCAAAGGCCUCCGUGUCUUGGCUUCUCACUAUGUUAAAUCCCUAUUAUAAAACUUAUCUUCACAAAGCCUAUUAUAGUAUUCUGAGAACAAAUUGGACCAUGAAUAACUUAGUUGGAAGUGUAGAUUAUUUUCUGCUCAGGGAAAGUUAGAGAUGACAACAGCUUAACUAAAAGAAUAGUGAUUAAUCUUAAAUAGAUGGAUUUCAAAGUUUCACUCUUGCUAAAGAGUACCUUUGAUAUUUCCCCUCUUCAGACUCAUGUUUCCACUUUCUUUGUAUUAAGAAUUGUCCCAGUGAUUACACUGUCCACCUAAGACAGCAUGACUCUAACUGUAGACCUUUUUCUUACAGGUUGUUAAUCUGUCAGAGAGGUGAGCAGAAAGACACUCUACUGUUGAUUAAGGAUAUGGUUCCAAAGUGUUACCUGUGCUGAGACAUCAAACUCUCUGUUAGAAAUAAUAUCUGGCAUAAAUCAAAAUUUCUCAAUUAGACAAAAUUAUUUAAAAACUUGUUAAGUUUGUUUAAUGCUCUCCAGCUUACAGAACACUUCUUAGUUCGUAAUUGUGUUUGAUCCUUAGAAGACUGUUAUGAUAUAAACAAAUAGCAUUAAUCUCAUUUUGCCAAGGAGUACGCUGAGUCACUUGCAUGCUGUGAUCCAGCUGAUAGCUGGAAGAACUGGGCUACCAACUCAGAUUUUAUAGCUUCUGUUUUAAGUGAUUAACCUAUAGCCAUUGGCAUUUAAAUCCUUUUUGUGUCCUACUCCCUAAAAAUUAAGAUUUUUUUUUUUUUGUAUUAAGGAGCAAAGUUUUUCUAUUUCACAAAUAUAGAAGUUAAAAGACCAGACUGGGAAAAAUUCUAUUCCCUGAAAAGUAAAUGUCAUGAAUUAUGAUUUUGCUUUGUGUGUGUGUGCGCAUGUGCAAGCGUGUGUAUAUGUGUGUUUCAAUAGUCUUUCAGAGAUGAAAGUCUUAAUUUCUAAAAGCCAAAAUGGGCAUCCCUAUAUAAAUUAAUAACUGCCUGGAAUUUUUAAAAUGUACUUGAAAACCAUAAAUUGUUUCAAAAUAGAAUAUAAUGACAAAUAAGCCUUUAGAAGCAUGAUCUGCCUAUAAAGUACUUGAGAGCAUGGCACUGAUUAAGUUCUAGGGUGCUAUAAGUGAGGUUCCCCCCCUUUUUUUUCAGUUUCAUUGAGAUAAAUUUGACAAAGUAGUAAGACAUUUAAAGUAUAUUUGAUAAACAUAAACAUUGUAUAAGUAUUCCUCCUGUCUGGUUAAUUAAAACAUCUAUCACUGCACAUGUUUGCCCUUUUUUUUUUUUUUUUUUUGGUGAGAACAUGUAAGUUUUACUCUCUUGACCAAACUCAAUUAUUCAUUGCAGUGUUAUCGAUUAUAGUCACCAUGUUAACCAUUAGAUCCCUAGGCCAUAUUCAUCUGAUAGCUGAAAGUUUCUACCCGUUUAUCAAUCUCUUCCUAACUCCUUUAUUCCUCAACCCCUGUCCUUCUAGUUUUUAUAGACCACUAUCUUUUAACAUUUUAGCAAGUUGGAAGAACAAAGUUGUAUAGGACUACUUUUGUUUCUCUUUGGUUUUUACGAUUCAUAUUUUUUAAAAAGUUUGCAAAGUACUCUAGGAAUAAUAAAUAAAAUGUUUAGUUAACUUGC